Molecule: long non-coding RNA, 774 nt
Filed under: Coturnix japonica (Japanese quail)
Lineage: Eukaryota; Metazoa; Chordata; Aves; Galliformes; Phasianidae
Description: lncRNA (ENSCJPG00005015415.1)
Source: RNAcentral
GGAACUGCACCUCAUCUGAGACUGGGUGCGGUCAAUGAGAAAUCAAAUAUUUAUAUACUAAUCCUGCAGCCUGGCAACACAACGGAGGAACUUGUGAUGGUAGAGGAAAUGAAACUAGACGGCAUGGGAACAACAGAAACAUGAUGAACUAAUACUCAGGACUGGAUUGGAAGUACUGAGAGGAAUCACAUCAGCAGUUAUUUUCUGUUAAAGAGAUGUAACAUAUUUUCCCCAAAGAAACAAGAAAAUAUGAUUAGAAGAUGCAGUUCUUUCAAGGCCCAUCUAGAAGACAGUAAUACUUCGCUUUUUCCAACCUUGCUGCUGAUGCUGGUGAUACCAUCAGUGUGAAUUUCAGAUCAGCAGAUACAAUUAAUGAUGGACUGAAAAUCAGUAUCUACAUAUCAAGACCCAGGAGCAAUACAUUAUGCAUCCAGUUCGCACCAAGAGAUGUUGAAAUAAUGCCUAAGGUACUAUAAACUAGUCUGAAAGAGAAAUACAAAGCCUUGAAAUCAAGCAUGUAAAUAGAGAUUAUUGUCACUGAUACUGUUUGAUGAGUUCAAAUUGAUACAUCCUAACAUUCCUUAGAGUCCUUCUCCAAAAAUUACUGAAGAAAAUGUUAUGCAUUAGCUCUUGUUUUAUUACUGUUAAUAUGUUCUUUAAAAUCACUUCGCUUUAUUGAAAGCAGAGGAUGUAAUUGCUCCAAUGACUAAACUUGUAACUUGAUUAAAUUUUCUGGGAAAUGAAUGUGUAAACAUAAUUGAUAAGAACAAUUUA